UAUAAAAAUAUUGAUUAUAUAAAAAUAUUGAUAUAUAGAUACUUUUUUAAUAUACAGUGAAACCUGAUAAAACCGAACCCUGAAUAAACCGGAAACCUGUCUAAUCCAAACUUGUUCUGAAGAACAAUCAUAUCACAUUUUAUGCAUUGUGAACCUGAUCAAACCGAAUACCUGCCAAAACCGAACAAAAUCUCAAGUCCCGAAAGGGUUCGGUUUAGUUAGGUUUCACUGUAUAAGGCUAAAU
This 244-nucleotide long non-coding RNA is filed under the name Mytilus galloprovincialis (Mediterranean mussel). Lineage: Eukaryota; Metazoa; Mollusca; Bivalvia; Mytilida; Mytilidae. The record is from RNAcentral.